This 64-nucleotide transfer RNA is filed under the name Nephtys sp. 'San Juan Island' YV-2008. RNAcentral describes it as "tRNA-Pro". The record is from RNAcentral. Lineage: Eukaryota; Metazoa; Annelida; Polychaeta; Phyllodocida; Nephtyidae.
CAGAUAGUAGUUUAAAAAAAAUUCUGACUUUGGAAGUCAAAGAUCGGUUAAUUCCGCUUUCUGA